GCUAGGCGUGGUGGCGCACGCCUGUAAUCCCAGCUACUUGGGAGGCUGAGGCAGAAGAAUCACUUGAACCCAGGAGGCAGAGGUUGCGGUGAGCCAAGAUGGCGCCAUUGCACUCCAGCCUGGGCAACAAGAGUGAAAUUCUGUCUCAA
Unclassified non-coding RNA from Macaca fascicularis (crab-eating macaque), 149 nucleotides. It matches the Rfam family "Metazoan signal recognition particle RNA". From Rfam's summary of the family: The signal recognition particle (SRP) is a universally conserved ribonucleoprotein. It is involved in the co-translational targeting of proteins to membranes. Lineage: Eukaryota; Metazoa; Chordata; Mammalia; Primates; Cercopithecidae. The record is from Ensembl.